GAGCGCAACCCUUGUCCUUAGUUACCAGCACGUAAUGGUGGGAACGUCUAAGGAGACUGCCGGUGACAAACCGGAGGAAGGUGGGGAUGACGUCAAGUCAUCAUGGCCCUUACGGCCAGGGCUACACACGUGCUACAAUGGUCGGUACAAAGGGUUGCCAAGCCGCGAGGUGGAGCUAAUCCCAUAAACCGAUCGUAGUCCGGAUCGCAGUCUGCAACUCGACUGCGUGAAGUCGGAAUCGCUAGUAAUCGUGAAUCAGAAUGUCACGGUGAAUACGUUCCCGGGCCUU
Molecule: ribosomal RNA, 289 nt
Filed under: uncultured Pseudomonas sp.
Lineage: Bacteria; Pseudomonadati; Pseudomonadota; Gammaproteobacteria; Pseudomonadales; Pseudomonadaceae
Description: partial 16S ribosomal RNA
Rfam family: Bacterial small subunit ribosomal RNA
Source: RNAcentral